GACGAACGCUGGCGGCGUGCCUAAUACAUGCAAGUCGAGCGAGCUUGCCUAGAUGAAUUUGGUGCUUGCACCAAAUGAAACUAGAUACAAGCGAGCGGCGGACGGGUGAGUAACACGUGGGUAACCUGCCCAAGAGACUAGGAUAACACCUGGAAACAGAUGCUAAUACCGGAUAACAACACUAGACGCAUGUCUAGAGUUUAAAAGAUGGUUCUGCUAUCACUCUUGGAUGGACCUGCGGUGCAUUAGCUAGUUGGUAAGGUAACGGCUUACCAAGGCAAUGAUGCAUAGCCGAGUUGAGAGACUGAUCGGCCACAUUGGGACUGAGACACGGCCCAAACUCCUACGGGAGGCAGCAGUAGGGAAUCUUCCACAAUGGACGCAAGUCUGAUGGAGCAACGCCGCGUGAGUGAAGAAGGGUUUCGGCUCGUAAAGCUCUGUUGGUAGUGAAGAAAGAUAGAGGUAGUAACUGGCCUUUAUUUGACGGUAAUUACUUAGAAAGUCACGGCUAACUACGUGCCAGCAGCCGCGGUAAUACGUAGGUGGCAAGCGUUGUCCGGAUUUAUUGGGCGUAAAGCGAGUGCAGGCGGUUCAAUAAGUCUGAUGUGAAAGCCUUCGGCUCAACCGGAGAAUUGCAUCAGAAACUGUUGAACUUGAGUGCAGAAGAGGAGAGCGGAACUCCAUGUGUAGCGGUGGAAUGCGUAGAUAUAUGGAAGAACACCAGUGGCGAAGGCGGCUCUCUGGUCUGCAACUGACGCUGAGGCUCGAAAGCAUGGGUAGCGAACAGG
This 788-nucleotide ribosomal RNA is filed under the name uncultured Lactobacillus sp. RNAcentral describes it as "bacterial SSU rRNA". It matches the Rfam family "Bacterial small subunit ribosomal RNA", at positions 28 to 776 of the family's 1533-position model. The record is from RNAcentral. Lineage: Bacteria; Bacillati; Bacillota; Bacilli; Lactobacillales; Lactobacillaceae.